GUUAGUUUUUUGGAAGAUAGUCUAAUUUAGUAUGUGUUGUGGUGUCAUGAUUUAGGUUUCUUAAAAUCACCCUAAAACAGCAUAUAUAUUAUAAUAUGAUUAGAUAUAGUAUGGAUAAUGUUUUAGGGGUGUAUGAUUCAUGUUUGGGUAAUAUGAUAUUGGUUAGUGAGUCUAAUAGUUGAUGUCUUGUAUAGUUUAAUAAGAUACCUUGUUUGAACGGAGUAUUGUAUGGUAAUAGUUAUUAUGUAAGGGGGUAGUAUUACAAAUAGUAUCAAAAUAAAAGAAAAGUUAGAAAAUAGGCUAGCAGUUAAGGUAAAAUUUUGUGUUAAAAGAGGUAAAAAUGUUGUAGGCAGAUAGGGUGAUUUUAUAAAGUUCAGAAAGUUAAAAUUUUUUGGAAGAUAGUCUAAUUUAGUAUGUGUUGUGGUGUCAUGAUUUAGGUUUCUUAAAAUCACCCUAAAACAGCAUAUAUAUUAUAAUAUGAUUAGAUAUAGUAUGGAUAAUGUUUUAGGGGUGUAUGAUUCAUGUUUGGGUAAUAUGAUAUUGGUUAGUGAGUCUAAUAGUUGAUGUCUUGUAUAGUUUAAUAAGAAAGUAAAU
Molecule: ribosomal RNA, 594 nt
Filed under: Schistosoma turkestanicum
Lineage: Eukaryota; Metazoa; Platyhelminthes; Trematoda; Strigeidida; Schistosomatidae
Description: 16S ribosomal RNA
Source: RNAcentral